CCUACGGGAGGCAGCAGUGAGGAAUAUUGGUCAAUGGCCGUAAGGCUGAACCAGCCAAGUAGCGUGAGGGAAGACUGCCCUAUGGGUUGUAAACCUCUUUUAUGCGGGGAUAAAGGCGUCCACGUGUGGAUGUUUGCAGGUACCGCAUGAAUAAGGACCGGCUAAUUCCGUGCCAGCAGCCGCGGUAAUACGGAAGGUCCGGGCGUUAUCCGGAUUUAUUGGGUUUAAAGGGAGCGUAGGCCGGUCUUUAAGCGUGCCGUGAAAUUUUGUGGCUCAACCAUGAGAGUGCCGCGCGAACUGGAGACCUUGAGUGCGCGGAAGGCAGGCGGAAUUCGUGGUGUAGCGGUGAAAUGCUUAGAUAUCACGAAGAACCCCGAUUGCGAAGGCAGCAUGCCGCAGCGUUACUGACGCUGAAGCUCGAAAGCGCGGGUAUCGAACAGGAUUAGAUACCCUGGUAGUC
Molecule: ribosomal RNA, 460 nt
Filed under: uncultured bacterium
Lineage: Bacteria
Description: partial 16S ribosomal RNA
Rfam family: Bacterial small subunit ribosomal RNA
Source: RNAcentral